This 4557-nucleotide long non-coding RNA is filed under the name Citrus x clementina. Its description in RNAcentral is "Citrus clementina (C. clementina) long non-coding RNA (CCLE_LNC005592)". The record is from RNAcentral. Lineage: Eukaryota; Viridiplantae; Streptophyta; Magnoliopsida; Sapindales; Rutaceae.
AAAGGGUGUUAAAAAAAAAAAAAGCUUCGCUCUCGAUUAAAAAGCGUGAUUGAUUUGAGCCCAUCCGGGCAGCUGCUUUGUGACUUUGAGACAUAAUGAUAAAAAUAAUAUAGGCCAUGGCCCACCUUGGACAACUUUUCAUCGACUUGCGUCGGAAGGAUUUGCGGACAGCCACAGAUUCUCACAUUCAAUAACAGUCUAACAGCACAUGUAAUAUCAAUAAUUGUCAGGUAAGGUUCUUUAGUCUCACAGUAUGUAUGAGCAAAAACAAAUCGAGUUGGAUCUCCAGAUAAUAUUGUUUAUUACCGUGGAUUGAUUAAAUGAUUAUUUUCUUUUUCUUUUUUCUUUAGGAAAAACAAAGACAUAAUUAAUCUAUCUAAUUUCGAUAGAGUACCUUUAAUUAAUCAAUGAUUUAUCUAAUACUUGGAGUAAUUUAGAAAAAAAAGUAACCUAAAUGAUAAAAGUAAAAAACAUUAGGAAUCUUUUUUUAUUAUUAUUAUAAAAGGUACAGCGAGGGCAAAGCCUAAAUCAAAAAAUAAUUCGAUUAAACCUUUACAGUAGAGCUGGUAAAAUUUGACACGAUCCGAUUACCCGAUACGAACACGACAUAAAUAAAUGGGUAUGGGUAGUCAAAUUUAACACGAUUAUUAAAUGGGUCGGGUCCGGGUCAACACGAUUUUUUUCAGUGUCGGGUUUGGGUUAAAAUUCUUGACCCAUUUACCCGAUCAAUGACCCGAUUAUAUUUUCUAUUUUAAAAUAAUUUACAUAUUCUUAUAAUUAAAACUUAAAUAUUAGAGAUGAUUUUCUUUUUUUUAUUCUUUAAAAGGGUGAAUAUAAACACAGUGUUUUAUUUAUAAAAUUUUAUAUACAUUUAGAGCUUCAAUAGUGUAAAUGUGUAAAAAUUGAUAGACAUGUAUAUUUUAUAAUAUUGAUAUAUAAUAUUAUAUAUAUAUAUAUAUAUAUAAUUAAAACCUCAAUAGUGUAAAUGUGUAAUAUAUUGGUAGAUAUGUAUAUUUUAUAAUAUCGAUAAAUUAUGUAUGUAUGUAUGUAUGUAUGUAGUUAUGUACAUACGUAUGUAUGAUAGUGUGUAAAUAUUUUAUGUAACUUUUGUUCAAUAUAUAGAUAUUAAACGGGUUAUUGGGUAACCCGAUUAUUUUUCCGUGUCGGGUUUGGGUCUCAAUAUUUUGACACGAUUAUUAAAUGGGUCGGGUUUGGGUCGACCUAAAUUUGACACGACACGAAGCUGACACGACACGAACACGACCCGAUGACCCAUUUUGCCAGCUCUACUUUACAGGCAGGCGUCUAAGUCAUCCUUUACAUAAUAUUACUUAAUAAUAAAUAUGCAUAUGCAAUUGUUGAAAUGAUGGAGAAAACUAAAUGUGAACACAAGCCAUUUUCAAAUGGAUUGGGAAUAUCUAUUCGGUUGUACGCUGGGGAGUAGACUAAUUUGCAUCAGUAAAGUCACCAUUCGAGGAAAAGGAGCAAUAUCGUGUAGUGGUCACGAGGCAAAUGAAGAAACAAGGAAUGCAAGUCAUGAGAUAGGAACUCUUAAUAUCGCAAUAAUUUUGUUUAAGGGAACAAGAAAAUGUUGCUCUAUAUAACAAUAAGUCUGUUAGCCGAAACAAGUCUUUGUUAGAAGCAAUUAGCUUGUGAGGAACAAUAUAUUCGACAUUAUUUACAAUUUUGUUGUUGCAAUCGGCACAAAAUGUAGUUGAAUGUGGCAGUAAAUAAGAUGUAAUUGAAUUACUAAUUCUGUAACGUUAAUGAAAGAAAAAAAAAUAGAAUGAAAGGAUAGGAAGUACAAGUAGGAAUUUAGGGGUGUUCAUAACGCAGCCUAAUCCGCUUAAUCCAUUCGAUCUAUAAAAGUUCGAUCCUAAAAAAUCUAAUACGUGCCUUCAUGGAUUGAAUUGAAUUAAAAAUUUUAAAAUUUGCAAUCGGUGAAUUGGAUGGGGAAUUAUUUCCAUAAAUCGGUAAAUUGGGGGUAAUUAAUUUAAAAAUACUAAAACUUGUAGUUGUGGUAUUAUUCGUAAACAAAUACGUUAAAAUGUAGUAAAAGUAACACCACAAUAUAUAUUAUCAAAACAAAUAGGAAAUAAAAUAAUUAAAUAAUUGAAUCAUUAAAAAAAAACAAAUAUAACUGCGUAAACAGUACAAUGAAAAAAAAAUCAACAAAUUGUAGAGUGAGCAAAGUGAAAAAAUUUUAAUCUGCAAAAUAGUAGAUUGAAUGUAAAUUGUAAUAAAUUCACAUCUGACCUGUAGAUAUAUGGAUUAGAUUUGAAUUAAAUUUCACCGAUUGCUUGAAUUAGAUUAAAAAUUAAUAAUCCACAAAAAUAUAGAUUAAAUGUGGAUUAAUGUCCAAUUCACAACAUUUGAUCCACCAUCACUCCUAUUGGAGUUCACGGUAGCUGAAAAAACCCGUUCGUGCUCUGUUGUAUGCUGCUAUCACCAUAGAUAUGGCUUCAAUUAAUAAUUAUCUCCGAAAUUGGGUGCUUGAUUGAUGCUUGAAUGACCAUAUGCCCAACAUCUCUGAAUUUGCUUCCUUGAUUCAUCCAUGACCUCAUUUUGGACUGAAAUCAAUACGGACAAGUAUAAGUGAUCGAUUUAACAGUUCAGUUCAACCCUCUUUGAAUUGCAAGUGACCAUAAAUUAAAUGGAGUAAAUGGUGCAGCAAAUUUAAUUGGAAAAAAAAAUAUUAAAUGACAAGUUUAAUAUGUGGAAAUACUACAAGGAUAUAUGUAAUUUCCAAAAGAUGCUAAUACUGUAGUUCUUAGUGGUUGGAAUUCGAAAACUAAGCUGCAAUGUCGAGAGAACAAAUAUACAAUAUAAGUUCCACACACAUAAUAAAAGUCAUACUUUGGUUAAAAAUUCAUUUACUUUUUAUAUUUUAACAUUAUAUUAUUUCGGCAAAUACUCAUUGAGUUCCGUUUUGUCCGUUUUGUCUUUAUCUUUUUUAAAAUACAUCAAAACAUCUAUAUUGUUAAAUUAUUAACAUCUUUGUACUUUUUGUUUCUUUUAACUUGUUUUUCUAAUAUUAUUCUCUCAAAAUAAUUUUUUUAGACAUUCCUAAAAAAUAAAGUAGAAACAAAAAGAAUAUAUGUUAUUUUUUUGUGAAACACUUUGAUGAUGAGUUAAUAUAUUAAUAUUUUAUUAAUGUAAAAAAAUAAAUAAUUUAAUUUUUGAAACAUACUAAUUUUUCUGGACACAUGUGAACUUCCAAAAAAAUUAAUAUAUAUUCUUUUUAUUGUUAUUCUAUUUUGGGAGUUAAAUUAGUAAUUUAAUUUUUUCAUGUUUAUUAAUGCAAAAAAAAAAUCAUUGUAAGAGGAUAACAUAAUAAAAACAAGUCAAAAAGAAUAAAAAGUAACGAUAAAAGUAUCAAUAAUUUAACAAGUUAUUUUGAGAUAUUUUUAAAAGAAUAUGGAUUAAAUAGGUAUUAACCUUAAAAUAUAAGGAUUAAAUGAGCUUUUACUACCGUACUUCCACGACAUUUUAUUAUAUCCUAGAAAACUAUGAAUACUUAACAAAAUACACUGCAUGUAGGGAUGGCAAUUUUCCAUUUGAGACGGGAUUGAAACAUAUUUUUGUCCUAUAAAAAAAUUUAGGGACGGGAGUGUGACAUUUUUAUCCCAAUUACAUAUGCGGGACGAGAGUGGGAUUGACAAAUUUCGUCUCAUCCCGUCUCAUUACCGAUUAAGAAUGGAAAUUUUUCCAAUUGGGCGGGAUCCCAUCUCUUUUUAGACAGGAUUGAGAUAUAUUUUUGUCCCAAAAAAAAAUAUAAGGACAGAACUGUGACAUUUUUUCAUCUCAUUUGCAUAUACGGGAUGGGAGUGGGAUUAGUAAAUCUCAUCCCAUUCCGUCCCAUUGCCAACCCUAAUUGCAGGUAGUUCAUAUUUGUGAAUAACUAAAUGUUUGGAGCAAAAGAUUGUGCCUAAAUUUCUUAGUUUGUGAUGUCAUUGUUUUAAUCCAACAGAGAGAUAUGCCAGCGAUGGACUUUAUUAUAUUAGUUGGCAAACUUGCAAUAUUACUUUUCUGGUUGCUAAUUUUGAACACAUGUCCAUUGUAAAACUUAAUAACGCCCGAGCUACUGUGAAACUGACUGUUAUGCAUUCGAAGAUAUUCCAAUACAUGGACUUACAAAAAUAAAAACAAAUAAACUUUUAAAAAAUAUUUACAUCACUGAACUGUUGAUAAAUAAUCCCUAAACCAUUUUGAAAAUUAAUGCCUUGUACUUCACAAUUUUGCCAUUUUCUAUACGAAAUCUAAUUUCCCACCAGCUAUAUUAACAACAAUUGGUUAUUCAGAAUUUCAAAUUCAAAUUAUACUUGCCUUAAAUUGGUGUAUUUGGUAUUGUUUUUCAAAUGAUAUUUUUAUUUUUAUUUUAUAAACUAGAAAUAAUUAGUUUUUAGUGAAAAUAAAAAUAUGAUUGGUUGAUUGUUUCUAAACUAGUGUUUGAAAAUGAAAAAGUGAAAAUGUGUUUCGUUGUUUGUCUAGAAAAAUGAAAAGAAUGAAUGAGAGUGAGAAAAAAAUGUAUUAUAAUGAAAAAAUUGUAAUAAAUUA